CCUACGGGAGGCAGCAGUGGGGGAUAUUGCACAAUGGGGGGAACCCUGAUGCAGCGACGCCGCGUGGGUGAAGGAGUGCUUCGGCAUGUAAAGCCCUAUCGGCAGGGAAGAAGCAAUACGGUACCUGACUAAGAAGCCUCGGCUAACUACGUGCCAGCAGCCGCGGUAAUACGUAGGGGGCGAGCGUUAUCCGGAUUCACUGGGGGAAAGGGAUCGUAGAUGGUCAAGCAAGACAGGGGUGAAAGCCCGGGGUCCAACCCCGGGACUGCCCUGGGAACUGCAUGGCUGGAGUGAUGGAGGGGCAGGCGGAAUUCUUGGUGAAGCGGUGAAAUGCGUAGAUAUCAGGAAGAACACCGGCGGCGAAGGCAGUCUGCUGGAUCGCGACUGACGUUGAGGCUCGAAAGCGUGGGGAGCGAACAGGAUUAGAUACCCCAGUAGUC
Molecule: ribosomal RNA, 440 nt
Filed under: uncultured bacterium
Lineage: Bacteria
Description: partial 16S ribosomal RNA
Rfam family: Bacterial small subunit ribosomal RNA
Source: RNAcentral